This 64-nucleotide transfer RNA is filed under the name Helianthus annuus (common sunflower). It matches the Rfam family "tRNA". From Rfam's summary of the family: Transfer RNA (tRNA) molecules are approximately 80 nucleotides in length. Their secondary structure includes four short double-helical elements and three loops (D, anti-codon, and T loops). The record is from RNAcentral. Lineage: Eukaryota; Viridiplantae; Streptophyta; Magnoliopsida; Asterales; Asteraceae.
GGUCCAGUGGUCAAAAGGCCUGGACUCCCUAGUGGAAACGCAGGUUCGAUUCCUGUUUGGGUCA